This 117-nucleotide ribosomal RNA is filed under the name Oscillospiraceae bacterium. Lineage: Bacteria; Bacillati; Bacillota; Clostridia; Eubacteriales; Oscillospiraceae. The record is from RNAcentral.
AUCAGUGGUGAUUGCCAAAGGGGUCCACCUGUUCCCAUUCCGAACACAGAAGUUAAGCCUUUGAACGUCGAAAAUACUUGGUGGGAGACCGCCCGGGAAGAUAGAUAGCCGCUGAUC